Molecule: transfer RNA, 71 nt
Filed under: Marmota monax (woodchuck)
Lineage: Eukaryota; Metazoa; Chordata; Mammalia; Rodentia; Sciuridae
Description: tRNA.Ala
Source: RNAcentral
GGGGUUGCAGCUCAGUGGCAGAGUGCUUGCUUAGCACGCGUGAGGCACUGAGUCCGAUUCUCAGUACCACA